GCUUCAGUUUUAAUUUGACUUGAUUUCGGCAUCGGUGGAGUCGCCAUCUUGGUCUUGGGGUGUUUGCGUGAUCCCGGAGUUACCGCUGACAUCGUGGCGUUCCUCGCUUGCGACGACGUGCCUGUUCGCGUCCAAAACAAAAAAGGUGUGAAGAAGAGAUUGAUUCUUGUGUUUUCUUUUUGGUUUAGUUUAAUCGACCCAGACAUUUCCCGGUUAAGGUCUCGGGAUUCAAAUUCACCCCAGGCCCCCGUCCUAGAUAUCAUACGACAAACUACUUUUGUAUUUUGUCUUUUAUUCCACCGUCAUGUAAGUAAUGUCGCAGGUGAAAGUCACAACCUGGGGUUUUUGGCCCGGAUGAUUUCCUGUUUGUUCUCCUCUAUGAGGAGCGUGCGGGAAUAAACAAAAAUAAAAAUAACCUCCCAUGUCUGAACAGUUACCGUGAAAAAAAAAAAAAAAACUUCUUAAAGAGGCUGAACAGCAGACGUCAUGGAAAGGACGUCAUGUGGAGCCAAGUGAGAUCUGUGAGAUUGUUGCCUCAUUCCUUCCCCCGGAAAAUGAAACGUGACAAAGAAAAAAAAAGAUCAUGAAGUCAUGAAGCAAAAACUCUGAGAACGCACGCCACACCCUGCGUUCUUGUUCCGAUGACAAAGAGCGCCGGCGGCCUCGGUGUAAGUCAAAGGUCACCUGGAACCACAGAAUACAAUGUCAUUCGCCGCAGCGCGGUGACCAUUGACCUACGGGAGGUGUGGAAACCGAAACAGGGGUGGCGAGGGACAACUUUGUCCAGUGACCAGUGCAGCAUUGAGGCACCACUAGCCAGGUGACACUCGCUCCUUCUCGUCUCGGUGUGCGUGCUGCCGAGGCGCGGCGGCGUCACCCGCUGGUCACUGGACUUCCCUUUUAACCCUCAGACCUCGGCAUCCAGACAGAUGCCAUCUUGUCUUUGGAAUGUUUUCAUAGUCGUCUGAAGCUUUUCACCUUUUGUUUGCGGUUUCCGAUGUGCAUCCAAUAGGACGCGUGUCACUGAUCCCCGGACCGGGUUCAGGUGGAGUCCAGCGGGGGCCACCGCGGCGAGCGGGACAACGUGGUCGGAUCGCCAGACGGCCUCUGUGCACACGCGCUUCAAAGAGGGGCUCCGGUGCGGAUAUCGAACGACGCGGGAGGCGACGACUUGAACCAGCCAGCUGAUAGAGUGUUACACUGUUUUGGUGAUAAGAGUUUGCAUUCAGCAGCUUCCCCUCCACCUUUGAUCCAGAUCGAUGGCCCCCGAGGAGGCAGCGUGAGGCCGAGUGAACGGCCCCCGACUUUAACGCGAUUCCCUCCACGUGCCCCUGCACACGUUUUAUUCAGGAAGCUCUAUUGAUGGAGCAGCUUGUCAACACGUGAACAGAAGCUUUUGGAGGCUGAGGAUCACGCGUUUUAACAGAAUGAUACAACAGUUAAUGGGAGACGGAACACUUUUUUAAUAUUAUAAGGACUAUCGUUAUUUAAUACACCUUCAAACAAGGGCUUAGACCAAAAGACUGUAACUGGAAAAACAGUAAGAACAACAGGUGUGUAGCAGUGAUAUUAAACGUAAUAAUAACAGUGAUAAGUCAAAUUAAAUUAUAUAUAUAUAUACAUAUUCAACAGCCCUAUUUAUUAUAACUUCAAAUAAGGUUUUUUGUAAACCGCAGCGAUGCUGCAGAGGCCGAAAUCCUGCAUUUGUCAUGUUAGCAGACUAAGCUUAGCACAGUUUGCAGGGUCAGAUGUUAACGGAUCCAGAACAAGUGGAAAACUUUACCGGUGUCAUAAACGCACCAUCGGGGAGCAAAAUGACUAAAAAGGGAGACUUUUGAGAUCUUCUUUCGUCACUGAGGGAAACUUUUAGUUACAAGAAUAUAAAUCGUGACAAGUUGGUGACACGAUGCCCAGCGCAUAUAUAUAUUGGACCACACAUACAGGCGAUGAUCUCUGGCUGUUGAACACGUGGCCGCAGCACAGAGCGAUCCUGCUUUGUCCACAGCACAUGAACCAACUGAACUCAGGAGGUGACGACCAAAGAGCGAAAUGUCCGAUCAGAGCAAACAGCUCUUUUUUCUUUUUUUUUCACAACACGAGGGACCGUUUUCACUGGCAACUAAUUAUGCUUCUGCUUAAACUAAAUUUGAAUUUUUUUUGUUCCUCUAGAAGAAGCUCAAAGCUAAAAAGGUCUUCACUGAAAACAUUUAGAUGGUCAGUAUUCCAUUUGCACAAUGACAGGACAUUGUAAAGGCGGAAAUGUUGGCUAAAUGUGCCACUUUCUUCACCACGUAGUCUAAAUGUGUGCGUCCGUGCUGGCCGGUGGAUCAGUGUGAAAUGCAUAAAAAGAAGAGGUUUCCACUGUUACAUAACCCGUUUCUCUUCAUUUCAUUUCAUUACCGACCUCCACCGAAAAGGUCGACACUAACAACUACUGAACUUUGCCCCAGUAAGUGUCCUCUUAAAUGGAGAGAGAGAGGGGGGGGAGAGAGACACAGAGCAGUGGUGAGUCAGAGAGGACAGAAGAAGACCACUGGAACAAGGAUCUCCCACUCAAAUCCGGCGAAUAAGUGUAGGAAAAAGACCUUUCCCGGCAUUGGUGCUUAAAUGCUGAACGUUUUGGUUUGUUUUGAAGGAUUCUUUAACGGGACCUCGGUCUCCCCCUACUGGAGAACUGAUGAAACCACAGGGACCGUCCCGGCUGCAGCGUUCACGUCCCACAGAAUGAACCGGGACGGACUCCGACACUCUCCUGAUCUCCUUUAACCUUCUCUAAUGUAAUGCGUUGACUUGCAGGUGCCUUAGUGCCACCAGGCGUCGCGGGGACUCGGGACAUCGAGGGGGGGGGGGGGGGGGGAUGGAAGGCAGCGGCGGGUCAGAGCCUGCGCCUCCCGCCCGCGAGGACAUCGGCUGCGCCGGGGCCUCUGCUCUCCUCGGGCCCCCUGGACAAGUGGCACCACCAGGCGGACUCCGUCCUCACGGCGGCCCGGCUCGCUCGCAGAGGAUGGACGGAGGAGGGGACGAAGAUGGCAUGGGGGCCGGACCCCUCGCGUCGACCCCCCGCCUCCGGGUCAGAUGGGAAUCGGGCCUCGGAACGUGGCGCCGUUGGCCCGAAGGAACCCGGGGGCGGACGGGUUCGGGACGCGGAGACGGAAGCCUCGUUCUCGGCGGACAGACGCGCCGAGGGACAGACGGGCCUCCGCGUUGUGGUGUCCGUCCGCCGCGCCGCAUGCAGACAGCCGAGGAGGUUCAAGGCGCCGAGACUACCGGUCAUCGCUGAGAUGUAGACCGACGCCGCCGUCUCCUCCAGAGGGGACACAAAUGUCUUCCUUAUGAUAAGUUCUACAGAUUCUAGUGCUCUUAUUUAAACUUACAUGGAGGACUUUUAUGUAAAGCGACCUCACAAAUAUAACCGCAUGCUUGUGUGUUCCUGUGAAAACUAAACCAUGUGUAUUUACUAGUUAAAUGUUCAGGCAGUAAGUGUUGCCAUUCUUCAUGUCAGGUAAAUAAAUAUUACAUUUGGUCUCAACUGUUCUCAAAGUUAAUGAGUAACUCCUUUGAGGCUGUAUUUUCCGACUGGUCUUAGUGGAUCCACGUAUCAAGUCCAUGUUGACCCGCUGCUGGCAGAGAUCACAGAAGUCAAAAACGAGUCAACUCCAGCUCUUCCUCGCUGAGCCGUCCAUCUCGCGCCGGCGUUCCCCACAAAUAUGUUUCAGGAUCAGGAAUCCUGUUCCCCCCUCUCCUCCCCUGGAAGGCGAACGUACACCGUGUUGUGAUUUUAACCCGUGACACGCCUCUGAUCUUCCUUUCAGCUCCAUCCCUUUUUAAUGUGGAGCAAUUAGUUUCAAGGGGAUGUGAGGCGGCACAGUGGAAGGAGCCGGGCCGGGUUACCCACUCCCAUCACUCCCAUCACUCCCAUUACUCCCAUUACUACCAUUACUACCAUCACCGC
Gasterosteus aculeatus aculeatus (three-spined stickleback) is the source of this 3952-nucleotide long non-coding RNA. NCBI's taxonomy places the organism in Eukaryota, Metazoa, Chordata, Actinopteri, Perciformes, Gasterosteidae. The record is from Ensembl.